RNAcentral lists this ribosomal RNA (380 nucleotides) under uncultured Fastidiosipila sp. RNAcentral's name for it is "bacterial SSU rRNA". It matches the Rfam family "Bacterial small subunit ribosomal RNA", at positions 986 to 1382 of the family's 1533-position model. Lineage: Bacteria; Bacillati; Bacillota; Clostridia; Eubacteriales; Oscillospiraceae. The record is from RNAcentral.
AUGCUAUGGUAAUGAAGCGAAAGCUAAGUGACCGCAAGGAGCUAGCACAGGUGCUGCAUGGCUGUCGUCAGCUCGUGUCGUGAGAUGUUCGGUUAAGUCCGCUAACGAGCGCAACCCUCGCUGUGUGUUACAAGUGUCACACAGGACCGCCGGUCUUAAGCCGGAGGAAGGUGGGGAUGACGUCAAGUCAGCAUGGCCUUUAUGUCCAGGGCUACACACACGCUACAAUGGUCAGCACAAUAGGUAGCCAAGCCGCGAGGUGGAGCCAAUCCUCAAAGCUGGCCUCAGUUCAGAUCGCAGGCUGCAACCCGCCUGCGUGAAGCCGGAGUUGCUAGUAACCGCAGGUCAGCUAUACUGCGGUGAAUACGUUCCCGGGGCUU